Molecule: ribosomal RNA, 492 nt
Filed under: uncultured bacterium
Lineage: Bacteria
Description: bacterial SSU rRNA
Rfam family: Bacterial small subunit ribosomal RNA
Source: RNAcentral
ACUCAAAUGAAUAGACGGGAGCCCGCACAAGCAGUGGAGUAUGUGGUUUAAUUCGAAGAUACGCGAAGAACCUUACCUGGGCUUGACAUCCCAAGAACCCUGUGGAAACACGGGGGUGCCCUUCGGGGAGCUUGGAGACAGGUGGUGCAUGGUUGUCGUCAGCUCGUGUCGUGAGAUGUUGGGUUAAGUCCCGCAACGAGCGCAACCCUUAUGAUUAGUUGCUACGCAAGAGCACUCUAAUCAGACUGCCGUUGACAAAACGGAGGAAGGUGGGGAUGAUGUCAAAUCAUCAUGCCCCUUAUGUCCAGGGCUACACACGUACUACAAUGGCGCAACAGAGGGGUGCCAAGGCGCGAGCCGGAGCAAAUCCCCAAAAAGCGUCCCAGUUCAGAUCGCAGGCUGCAACUCGCCUGCGUGAAGUAGGAAUUGCUAGUAAUCGCAGAUCAUCAUGCUGCGGUGAAUACGUUCCCGGGCUUUGUACACACCGCCCGU